This 486-nucleotide ribosomal RNA is filed under the name uncultured bacterium. RNAcentral's name for it is "partial 16S ribosomal RNA". It matches the Rfam family "Bacterial small subunit ribosomal RNA", at positions 30 to 507 of the family's 1533-position model. The record is from RNAcentral.
AUUGAACGCUGGCGGCAUGCCUUACACAUGCAAGUCGAACGGCAGCACGGGGGGUAACCCCUGGUGGCGAGUGGCGAACGGGUGAGUAAUAUAUCGGAACGUGUCCUGUAGCGGGGGAUAACCUAUCGAAAGAUGGACUAAUACCGCAUACGACCUACGGGUGAAAGCGGAGGACCGCAAGGCUUCGCACUAUAGGAGCGGCCGUUAUCGGAUUAGCUAGUUGGCGGGGUAACGGCCCACCAAGGCGACGAUCCGUAGCUGGUCUGAGAGGACGAUCAGCCACACUGGAACUGAGACACGGUCCAGACUCCUACGGGAGGCAGCAGUGGGGAAUUUUGGACAAUGGGCGCAAGCCUGAUCCAGCCAUGCCGCGUGAGUGAAGAAGGCCUUCGGGUUGUAAAGCUCUUUCGGCGGGGACGAAACGGUUCGUGCUAAUACCACGGACUACUGACGGUACCCGCAGAAGAAGCACCGGCUAACUACGUG